RNAcentral lists this long non-coding RNA (1035 nucleotides) under Homo sapiens (human). Its description in RNAcentral is "HSALNT0168477". Lineage: Eukaryota; Metazoa; Chordata; Mammalia; Primates; Hominidae. The record is from RNAcentral.
GAACCACUGGUUAAAGCAACAUUCUGAUGACCAGAUCUAGGUUUGCUGAGAUCUGCCAAAGGAAGGAAGUUCAGUUUCCACUCUUCGUGAGCAGGGUUGAAGCCAGUUUCCCUGAGGAUCCUCUGUAAGCAGAAGGGCCCACCCAUCCUUCUCUACCUUGAGCAAGCCUCUGAUCCUGCCAGGAGUGGUUAUAAAGGUGUACUGACAAACUCUGCAAGGUGGAGGAGAUGAAGAAAAGCAAAGGCUAUAUGGCUGCUUUCAAAGCUGUUUAUCAGAAAAGAAGAUAUCUCUCAACAAAAUGACACCAUGUCUAAAAAUGCUUGCCUGGCAUCCCUAUCUGUUAUAUGCUGGAGUGUGAAUUACAUGUGCCUUCAUUGUAAUCAGAAAAUAAAAUGUAUGCCCAUGAAAUAUGUAAAUGUUAGAUAUGAAUAUGUGCUUAAUACAACAGACUGGCUAUAAACUUUGAAAUGGAUCAAGACUAAAAUUUUAUAUAUGAGCUUGCCCUUCUGUUUGAUGAAUUGUAUAGACUGGUAGCUUUGUGGAUUCUAUAGGUAUCCCAGCUUUCUCAUAAAAUGUGGAAUAUUUAUUAUGUAAUAUCGACAGCAGGAUAUUAAUAUUAUUCUAAAAACUACAUACAAAUGCUCCUUGACUUAUGAUGGGGUUGUUUCCCAGUAAAUCCAUCAUAAAUUGAAAAGAUCAUAAGUCAAAAAUGCAUUUAAUAUGCCUAAUUUACUGAGCACCAUAGAUUAGCCUAGCCUACCUUAAAUGUGCUCAGAACACUUACAUUAGCUUACAGUUGGGCAAAAGCCAUCUAACACAAAGCCUAUUUCAUCAUAAAAUGUUGACUAUCUCAUGUAAUUUAUUGAACACUGUACUAAAAUUGAAAAACAGAAUGAUUGUGUGGAUAUUUGAAGUACAGUUUUUACUGCAUGGGUAUCGCUUUUGCACCAUGCCACCUCUUUCUUUCUCCUCAUAUAUAUAAAUAUAUAUAUAUAUAUAUGAUGGGAGGAGGAAAGAGAGAGAGGGAGAGAGAGG